Long non-coding RNA from Acinonyx jubatus (cheetah), 5762 nucleotides. RefSeq lists it as uncharacterized. The record is from RefSeq and is a predicted model, not a curated record. Lineage: Eukaryota; Metazoa; Chordata; Mammalia; Carnivora; Felidae. The transcript is spliced from 3 exons.
GAGUUUGUUGCGGUUUUUAAAUUUUCAGAUGAAAAGCUCAAGGAGGGAAAUAAUUUAAGAGGAGAUUUAUGGUACUGAGAACAUUUAACAUGAUUGCUUUUCUGAGUCAAGACACAGCGCUCAGCCUCCCGGGAACUCUGCUACAGAGAACACACAACCAGCCUCCAUUGUCACUAAUACCUCCAUUCGGCCCCACCACCCCAUCAAACGCAACCCUCCGAUGGGGACUGUUCCAGAAAACUGGACGACAUCUGAAGAACUCUUCCUUGGCCAUCAGCUCCAGACCCCCGCCACUGUUACAGAACCCGCUCUGGACCACCCUGUAGAAGAGCCAAGCGGUACUCGGAGAUCUUGGAAGGCAGGAGACCAGGCCCCCUGACGUGUCACAGGACCAGGCACAGCCUCUGUCUAUCCCUUAGUAGUGGGCUUCAGUCCCCCACCCGCCCACAGAAUCACUCCCAACAGAUCACAUCCUCCUGCAAGAACCAAUGGACACCCCGCCCUCUUGUUCCUACAACGCCUUCCCUGGUCCCGCGGUCCUGUUCCCGAGUGCGAUCUCCGUACAGUUCCACGCGGCAGGCAGUGUCCUCUUCCAAGGCUGCGAGUCCGUGUAACUCACAAACUAAGGCUGGUCCUGAUUGUCCGUGUCCCUCUCAUGGGUCUGGCCAUCUCCAUCACCCUAUGGCAGGAGCCUCUUCCUCACCAGUGGGGACGAAUAGGAGAAAAUUAAAACAGAUACAGAAGGAAAUAUAGCUAAUGAAAAGUGCCUUGGCAGGUUACUACUUAGAGCUGCUGGGUAUCUGUCCUAAGACCCUCUCGAGAGUUCUGGGGGCCAGAGUAGAAACACCAACCCGGUGUGCUGAAAGAGCUAACUUUGCCAGGUACGGUUGAGGGCUGCCCCUGGGGCAUUCACCUCCCACACCAGACACGGGGAGGCUCUGCCAGCCAGAGCGAGCCCUGAGGCAGAGAUGCAGAGCCGGCAGGUGGGUCUGCUGGCAGGACAGCUGUGAGGGGGUACGGGCAGAGGCCCCUGGAGCAGUGGGAAAGAGCAGUGGUCCAUUUGGCCAAAAUCCUGUUAGCUCCCAAGUUGUUCUGCAAAAUUCACUAAUCCGCACAUCUUUUGGCACCAAUAAAGCUCUAGGGAAGAAAAGAGGAUUGGUAAAGGGAAAAAAGAAAAACGUUGAUGGUCUGAUAGAGUCGCUAAUUCACUUCUCUACCCACGAGCAAUCAGGAACGACAUCUUCUUGGCUGGGGCUUCUCAGACUCUAGCACGUAUCAAGGUCACCUGGAAGGCGUGGGGCUCAACUCCAGAGUCUCUCCUCAAGCAGGCUGGUGGGAGGCCUGAGAGCCCGCAUUUCUAACAAGUUCCCUGGUGGUGCUGAUGCUGGUGGUCCAGGGACCACAGCUGGCCCGAAGCCAGGGCCCUGCCACCAAAGGUCUUCAAACACGGAGCUGUGGAGACCUGGCAUUCAUGAUAAGGAUGUGACAGAGUCAAAAUGACAUUACAGCAAGUCUCCUCAACAGACGGAUGGACCAUCGAAGCAUGAGGUUAAAUAAAAGAAGAACAAUCAGCAGCUUUAUCUUUGCAGCAUUAUAAUUCGAGGAGACAAUGAGAUUUCCUUUAUACAGAUCACGUCCAGGUAAGAGCAAGUAAGGACAGUAAGGAUGGCAGCUAAACCUGUAUUCACACAAAGUCCUGGACAUUUUUUCCAUGAUGGGUGACCAGGGGCUUCCUAAAGAGAUGGUAUUGAGAACUGGAGUCAGGGUCACUCUUUCCCGGGCGACAACUGGGCACUUCUCUGUUGAUAAGGAAAUGUCUUGCGCUUGCCUUUAUUUAUUUAUUUAUUUAUUUAUUUAUUUAUUUAUUUAGAGACAGAGAGAGACAGAGCAUGAACGGGGGAGGGGCAGAGAGAGAGGGAGACACAGAAUCGGAAACAGGCUCCAGGAUCCGAGCCAUCAGCCCAGAGCCCGACGCGGGGCUCGAACUCACGGACCGCGAGAUCGUGACCUGAGCUGAAGUCGAAUGCUUAACCGACUGAGCCACCCAGGCGCCCCAACACUUGCCUUUAUUCCUCUAGUCUGACAGGAGUCUGGUUUUGCCUUUGGAAACAGCCCCAGUGUCUUGAUCUCACGGAAGGUCCCGCUUGCGCAUAAAAAGAGGACCACCUGACUAGCCCUUUAACUUUGGCCUCUGAAUUCAAGUGCUCAAGAUGCUAUCCCCAGAUCCAUUACUGUUUAAAAAGAAAGGAGAGGAAAAGCCUGAAAUCUCACCAUCAGGUGACAUAGGAAAGCCCAUCACAGUGCUCUUGCUGAGAUGUGAGACAGUGUAUCGAUACAAAGCACAAGGAAGUCUUUCCUCCCCGAAAUCUCUACUGAACCUUGGCAUCCAGCCCCCAAAGGAGCUUUUCCUCAGAAGCUCUAGCUUCCCCGGCCAUUAUUGAAAGGGCCAGGCUCAUCAUUCAUACAACUGUCAUCUUUCAAAUGCGUAUUGAGUGCCUUCUGUGUGAUAGGUAAUGUGCAUUCUACAAGAGCAUAUUCAGAACGCGGUCUGACAGGUGUAAGAGGCUCCUGCGAGGGCCUAUGUGCCCAGGGAGAUCCAGUUGAAAUCCUGCCAUUUCAGAUGCAUUCCUUGCUAGUGAGGUACGAGGUCUUGAAGGGACUUCCAAUGACCUGAAAUACACCUGGUGAGCACCCCAAUACUGACCUGAAUCCUACAGGAACACCUCGGUGGACAUUAACACACGAUCCUGUUUGCCAAUCCGGAUGGUUCAGCACAGAACCACGCAGGUAUGAUACAGAAAAGGCAAUCUGGUGGUGGGAAACACGGGGUAUAAAAUGUGCGAAGAAGCAGUGAGACAUCAGCAUUAGGGGAGGUGCUCCAAUGCACGACCCGAAAAGCGAGGGCGAAACAGUAAUGCCCUAGAGGUGGUGGGCGAUCCAAGGAGCCCUGGGUGCUCCCGGCAGGAAAAGAAGGCUCUGAAGGGUCUAUUUCACAAUUCCGCAUACAAAUCGAGAGCGAGGCUGCCAGUCUGUGUGUGUGUCUUCCUGCUCCCUGUCCCUGGGGAGGCAAAGUCAGACAUCUUCUAGGAGGUCAGCCGAAAGGAGAGGCGGACCCGAAGACAAAUGGAAUCAGCAGGAAGGCUUUUCUCUCUGCCUGAGACACAGCCGUCUCCUUGUAUGAAGACAAGAACCAAGAUCAUUGUAUUUAUUGUCAGAGCGUUUCGAGGCAUUGCUUUGACUCGAUUUUAAGCUCUGUUAACUUUCAGCAUUAUCCCUCUAAGUUUUCGUCCCUUGCUAGCUGAGCGACUAACCCCCUCUGAAUGCCCAUUUCUUUCAACAGAAAUACUCGGCCAGGUAUUCCAAAGGCUGCUGCGUUGACGGAGAAGCAGUUCGUGAAAAGUGUCAAGCUGGGCCCGGCUCCUUGUAACUGAGUGUGAGCUUCCAAAAUCCGCAUCCCUCCCUCCCCGCUCUGUGCUCCCCCCAGCCCAUUCGCAGUCAUGAUGACUGUUUUCUCUCUGGAGUCUAGACAGCAUUAGACACCCUAAUACUUUCAUUCAUUCAUUCGGCAAAUACUUGUUCUCAUUUGUGAUACAACAUUGAAGUAAAUGCCGGAGACACAAAAAUGACAGGCAGAGCCCCGCUCACGCAUAGCUCUCUGUCUCCCCAGGGGAUGGGCAAAUACAGAGUCCAUUUACCGGAGUGUGAUAAUGAGCUAUUCCAGAGAAACACAAAGGGAGGGAGUUAGAAUCAGGAGGAGAGGCAGCUGGGACGGUCCCCAAGGGGAGAGGCAGCUCAGCUAGGUUUCCAGGGAAGAGCUAAGGAAUGACACAGGUAGACAAGGGAGUGAAAGAAACAGCAAAUGUGAGGGCACAGAGGACAGAGAGUGAGACGCCUCUGAACGCUAGGAAAGGGGCCAGAGAGGCAACAAUGAAGGACGGGAAGGCGACGGUGGAUGACAGGAACAGCCAAAAUGCUGGCAUCACGAGAGGCAAAAAGGGAACCAUUCAGAAAGGAAAGGAGGGGUCCGAUCGGAGGAAGUAAGUAGUACGGGAACCAAGAAGUGUUUGUCCGCUACGUUGCUGAGAAUCUCAGCAAGGAGAGUCAGAGAGCAGCAGGGGCAGAAGUCAGUCCACAACAACGUGGGAAGUGAAACAGAGUCGAGCAUAAACAUACCACAUGGCUUUUGUGGCCAGAUCUGCACCACCUCCCCCCUGUCCCUGCCCACCACCGCCUGUCGUGUCGGGGAGUCAUGGUCACAACAAGGCAGUAAGCACAGAGGCGCACUGCUGUUGGCUUAUGGCUGGUAUUUGCGGAAAAGUCUUCCUACAUCCGUAUUUCACACUUUGAAGUAUAUCUAUUGCCCUUAUAGCUUAUGACCUCUUCCACAUUUAUACAGCCGUUUGGAGAUAAACCAUUGGAGAUAAACCAUUACCACCACUAACCCCACUACCGACCCAUACCUCCACAUACUCCUGGGUGCUCAUUCCGCUUUGAUCUGGACCUGGUCUGGGGCUUCAUUUCGCAUCUUGGACUGUUCUGCAGCACCCUCUCCUUCCAAGUAUCUAUAUUCUUUAUAACAGGGUUACACGAAACACUUGCUCAAUGUGCCUGGGGGCUCCCCCUUGUGGCAGAGAGCAUAUCGACAGUCCCAAAGCCAUUCACAAAGCCCCUUUGCAUUCCUCAGGCAGGAAAGCUGGAAGGUUGAUCUUUCUAGACUUCUUUGCAGCCAGGCAAGGCGUGUGACAAUUAUGGCCCAAAAGAUUUAGGCACAAAUCUCUGGGUAGGGGUUUUGUUUCCAAGUAUACAGGUGACGCCUCAUUAGGAAAAAGCUCUUUGUCUUGGACCCUUCCCUCUUCUAGGCAAUGCAGACCAUCCAGCUGCCAUUUGCAGACAUGAGGAAAAGAACCACACACACACACACACACACACACACACACUCAGAAUGAUGGAGAGGAGCCCUGGGACUCUGAUGACGUUGGGGAGUCGCUACACCAGUCUGAGCUGCUACCUAAGGACUCCUGCUAAGCGAGAAGCGUAAACCUGUUACUGAACUAGCUAAAGAUGAUUUAUUCUUGGGGCACCUGGGUGGCUCAGUUGGUUAAGCAUCUGACUUUGGCUCAGGUCAUGAUCUCAUGCUUCAUGAGUUCGAGCCCCGCAUCAGGUUCUCUGUUGUUGCAACACGGCAUGCUUUGGAUCCUCUGUCCCUCCCUCUCUCUGCCCCUCCCCUGCUCAUGCGCACUCUCUCUUUCUCUCAAAAUAAAUACAUAAACUUUAAAACAUAAAUAAAGAUGAUUUACUCCCAAGUGCGUCACUCGUGGAAGCAUCCCAGGCAGGCACUUGGUUGGUGGCCACUGUUCUGUGUGGCCCCUUGAAAAUGGAGAGCCCUCCCAUGGCCAUGCUACCGUGGGAGGAUCCGUCACUUGGCAGUUCGAAGUGUAAACAAAUGAACCUUGGCCUCACUGUUUGGUGUCUCUAGUACACCCACAGCUUCUGCCAAGAACACGUCCUCUCAGACACCCUGAAGUCUGAUUUGAUGGGUUCCUGGAUACUCUUGGUUCCUGGACAAAAACAGGAGAAGGACCCAGAAGCUUGCCUGGGUUUGAAAGCAUGAAGUUGCAUGGGUCACACCUACGAAAGUGGGCAUGUGCCCCCAACCCAGUGAUAUAAAAUUACAGAAGGAGGGGAGAAGCAGGGCAGGACGAAGGGAUGGGGGAAAGAAGGUCUACCGGGAUCCAGAGACGAGCAGGCAGGGUCCUGAAGCC